AGAUGGGAGCUUGCUCCCUGAUCUUAGCGGCGGACGGGUGAGUAACACGUGGGCAACCUGCCCUGCAGACUGGGAUAACUCCGGGAAACCGGAGCUAAUACCGGGUAAUACAUCGCACCGCAUGGUGCAAUGUUGAAAGUUGGCUUUCGAGCUAACACUGCAGGAUGGGCCCGCGGCGCAUUAGCUAGUUGGUAAGGUAAUGGCUUACCAAGGCGACGAUGCGUAGCCGACCUGAGAGGGUGAUCGGCCACACUGGGACUGAGACACGGCCCAGACUCCUACGGGAGGCAGCAGUAGGGAAUCUUCCGCAAUGGACGAAAGUCUGACGGAGCAACGCCGCGUGAGUGACGAAGGCCUUCGGGUCGUAAAGCUCUGUUGUUAGGGAAGAACAAGUACCGUUCGAAUAGGGCGGUACCUUGACGGUACCUAACCAGAAAGCCACGGCUAACUACGUGCCAGCAGCCGCGGUAAUACGUAGGUGGCAAGCGUUGUCCGGAAUUAUUGGGCGUAAAGCGCGCGCAGGCGGUCUUUUAAGUCUGAUGUG
RNAcentral lists this ribosomal RNA (544 nucleotides) under marine bacterium SIMO IS-S73-229. RNAcentral describes it as "bacterial SSU rRNA". It matches the Rfam family "Bacterial small subunit ribosomal RNA", at positions 69 to 596 of the family's 1533-position model. The record is from RNAcentral. Lineage: Bacteria; Bacillati; Bacillota; Bacilli; Caryophanales; Bacillaceae.